CAUAGGUCUAUAACUGAUAAUAAAUAAUAAAAUAUAAAAUUAUCUUAUUAAAAUCGUUUUCCAUGAAAUCUUUUUUCCCUAUUCUGUUUGAUAACAUAUCAUAUUUGUUCUGUAUGAUAAAUUAUUGUAAAUAAGUAUCUUAAACCAGUGUGGAAGCUACAUUAGGGUCAAACCUCAUAUAAGGUCCAUCAUAAUGGCAUCAGAUGAUAAUAACCAAUCCCUUCCGAAGGCUUUUCUAAAAGGUUGUCAUUCUACCUGUUGUACUAUAUUUUGGAGAUACUUAUGUCCUUUCAUAUUUGUAAUUUUGAUCAUAAUAUUCUGCAGCGUUUUAAUCAAUCUGCUUAUCAAAUCGAAAGAAACUGAACUAAAGGAAACAAUUAAUAAUAUGAACAAAGCAAUUGCAAACGAUCCACAUAUAAAUAUAUAUGAAAAUUACGAAGGCGAGAAUAAUAAUUUUGAUGACCAAUUUAAUAAAUUUAUUUAUUAACUCA
Aethina tumida (small hive beetle) is the source of this 491-nucleotide long non-coding RNA. RefSeq lists it as uncharacterized. The transcript is spliced from 2 exons. The record is from RefSeq and is a predicted model, not a curated record. NCBI's taxonomy places the organism in Eukaryota, Metazoa, Arthropoda, Insecta, Coleoptera, Nitidulidae.